UGGGGAAUUUUGGACAAUGGGCGCAAGCCUGAUCCAGCAAUGCCGCGUGCAGGAUGAAGGCCUUCGGGUUGUAAACUGCUUUUGUACGGAACGAAAAGCCCUGGGUUAAUACCCUGGGGUCAUGACGGUACCGUAAGAAUAAGCACCGGCUAACUACGUGCCAGCAGCCGCGGUAAUACGUAGGGUGCGAGCGUUAAUCGGAAUUACUGGGCGUAAAGCGUGCGCAGGCGGUUUUGUAAGACAGAGGUGAAAUCCCCCGGGCUCAACCUGGGAACUGCCUUUGUGACUGCAAGGCUAGAGUACGGCAGAGGGGAUGGAAUUCCGCGUGUAGCAGUGAAAUGCGUAGAUAUGCGGAGGAACACCGAUGGCGAAGGCAAUCCCCGUGGGCCUGUACUGACGCUCAUGCACGAAAGCGUGGGGAGCAAACAGGAUUAGAUACCCUGGUAGUCCACGCCCUAAA
RNAcentral lists this ribosomal RNA (460 nucleotides) under uncultured bacterium. Its description in RNAcentral is "partial 16S ribosomal RNA". It matches the Rfam family "Bacterial small subunit ribosomal RNA", at positions 355 to 806 of the family's 1533-position model. The record is from RNAcentral.